AGUGAACGCUGGCGGUAGGCCUAACACAUGCAAGUCGAACGGCAGCACAGUAAGAGCUUGCUCUUACGGGUGGCGAGUGGCGGACGGGUGAGGAAUACAUCGGAAUCUACUUUUUCGUGGGGGAUAACGUAGGGAAACUUACGCUAAUACCGCAUACGACCUACGGGUGAAAGCAGGGGAUCUUCGGACCUUGCGCGAUUGAAUGAGCCGAUGUCGGAUUAGCUAGUUGGCGGGGUAAAGGCCCACCAAGGCGACGAUCCGUAGCUGGUCUGAGAGGAUGAUCAGCCACACUGGAACUGAGAAACGGUCCAAACUCCUACGGGAGGCAGCAAUGGGGAAUAUUGGACAAUGGGCGCAAGCCUGAACCAGCCAUACCGCGUGAGUGAAGAAGGCCUUCGGGUUGUAAAGCCCUUUUGUUGGGAAAGAAAAGCAGCAGGUUAAUACCCCGCUGUUCUGACGGUACCCAAAGAAUAAGCACCGGCUAACUUCGU
RNAcentral lists this ribosomal RNA (491 nucleotides) under uncultured bacterium. Its description in RNAcentral is "partial 16S ribosomal RNA". It matches the Rfam family "Bacterial small subunit ribosomal RNA", at positions 29 to 506 of the family's 1533-position model. The record is from RNAcentral.